CAGUCGUACCUUCGGGUAAUCAGCCUUUCGAGUGCGAUUCUGUGGAGUGUGAGGAGCUAAACACCUUCAUGCCUGCAUAUUCGUGCUCUUGGGUGUACUUGCUCGUGUGGUUGGUUAACAUCAAUUUCGGACGCCAUAAAAUGGCUGGAGGAAUGUAGCUUCGAUCUCGUAUUGAAGUGUUAUAGCCUUCGGUAGAUGUGGUGAUCGAGAUUGAGGAUUGCAACGGAUACCCUUCGGGGCUACCUGUCUGGUCUCUGAUCGUUGCUCUGGUGCCGAAAGCUUGCUUACGGUUAUCAAAGUCGAUGGUCAAUAGGUUAGAAUGGGUUAAAUUCGUUAAGGAUGUUGACGUAAUGGCUUUAAACGACCGUCUUGAAACUACGGACCAAGGAGUACUAGCAUAUAUGCGAGUGUUU
This 413-nucleotide ribosomal RNA is filed under the name Rhizophagus irregularis. Lineage: Eukaryota; Fungi; Glomeromycota; Glomeromycetes; Glomerales; Glomeraceae. The record is from RNAcentral.